GGCUGGUCCAAGUGCAGUGGUGUUUAUAACUAAUUGAUCUCAACCAGUUACAGAUUCCUUUGUUCCUUCUCCACUCCCACUGUUUCACUUGAGUAGCCUAAA
Unclassified non-coding RNA from Otolemur garnettii (small-eared galago), 102 nucleotides. It matches the Rfam family "Y RNA". From Rfam's summary of the family: Y RNAs are components of the Ro ribonucleoprotein particle (Ro RNP), in association with Ro60 and La proteins. The Y RNAs and Ro60 and La proteins are well conserved, but the function of the Ro RNP is not known. NCBI's taxonomy places the organism in Eukaryota, Metazoa, Chordata, Mammalia, Primates, Galagidae. The record is from Ensembl.